GGCGGCGUGCCUAAUCAUGCAAGUCGAGCGGAUGGAUGUACAAUCCAUGAGCGGCGGACGGGUGAGUAACACGUGGGUAACCUACCUUUUAGACGGGGAUAACGCCUGGAAACGGGUGCUAAUCCCGGAUGGGAUCUUUCUUCGCAUGAAGGAGGAAGGAAAGGCGCAGACAAGCGCUGCUAAGAGAUGGGCCCGCGGCGCAUUAGCUAGUUGGUGGGGUAAAGGCUCACCAAGGCGACGAUGCGUAGCCGACCUGAGAGGGUGACCGGCCACACUGGGACUGAGACACGGCCCAGACUCCUACGGGAGGCAGCAGUAGGGAAUCUUCCAGCAAUGGGCGAAAGCCUGACGGAGCAACGCCGUGUGAGCGAAGACGGUCUUCGGAUUGUAAAGCUCUGUCAUUUGGGACGAGAGGCAUGGAGAGGGAAUGCUCGAUGUGAGACGGUACCAAAGGAGGAAGCCCCGGCUAACUACGUGCCAGCAGCCGCGGUAAU
RNAcentral lists this ribosomal RNA (494 nucleotides) under uncultured bacterium. Its description in RNAcentral is "bacterial SSU rRNA". It matches the Rfam family "Bacterial small subunit ribosomal RNA", at positions 38 to 524 of the family's 1533-position model. The record is from RNAcentral.